GAUGAACGCUGGCGGCGUGGAUAAGGCAUGCAAGUCGAACGCUCCGACCUCGGUCGGAGAGUGGCGAACGGGUUAGUAACACGUAGGAAUCUAUCCUUGUCUCGGGCAUAAUCCCGCGAAAGCGGGACUAAUUCCCGAUAGUCCCUUACGGGUAAAGGUUUCCCGACCUCGUGUCGGGGUUCUGGAUGAGGAAGAGCCUGCGUCCUAUCAGCUUGUUGGUAAGGUAAUGGCUUACCAAGGCUAUGACGGGUAGGGGGAGUGAGAGCUUGACCCCCAACAAUGGGACUGCGAUACGGCCCAUACACCUACGGGUGGCAGCAGUCGAGAAUCUUCCGCAAUGGGCGAAAGCCUGACGGAGCGACGCCGCGUGAGUGAUGAAGCCCUUCGGGGUGUAAAGCUCUUUUCUGGAGGAAGAAUAUUUAGUUUACUAUUUUGACGGUACUCCAGGAAUAAGGGGCCGCUAAACUCGUGCCAGCAGCGGCGGUAAUACGAGUGCCCCAAGCGUUAUCCGGAAUUACAGGGCGUAAAGCGUGAGUAGGCGGUUUUGAUAGUGAUUGGUUAAAUUCCGGGGCUUAACUCCGGAGCGGCCAGUCAAACGUCAAGACUAGAGCAAGUGAGAGGCUGAUGGAACUCUUCGAGUAGGGGUGAAAUCCGUUGAUAUGAAGGGGAACACCAAAGGCGAAGGCAAUCAGCUGGUGCUUAGCUGACGCUGAGUCACGAAAGCGUGGGUAGCGAACGAGAUUAGAUACCUCGGUAGUCCACGCCCUAAACGAUGCCAACUAGUCGUUCGAAGUAUCGACCCUUCGAGUGGCGAAGCUAACGCGUUAAGUUGGCCGCCUGGGAAGUACGGCCGCAAGGCUAAAACUCAAAGGAAUAGACGGGGAGUUGCACAAGCGGUGGACCAUGUGGUUUAAUUCGACAUUAAGCGAGGAACCUUACCAGGGCUAGACAUCCUGAUGAAAUCUCCGUGAAAGCGGGGACUUCUCACAAGGACAUCAGGGUCAGGUGGUGCACGGUUGUCGUCAGCAUGUGGCGUGAGCUGCCCCCUUAAAUGGGUUAACAUGCGCAACCCUCACCCUGUGUUAUACGUGUCACAGGGAACUGCCUCCGUAUAGGGGGAGGAAGGCGAGGAUGACGUCAAAUCAGCGUGUCCUUUGAUGCUCUGGGCUACACACGUGGUACAAUGGUCAGGACAAUGGGUUGCCAAGCCGCAAGGCGGAGCUAAUCCCAUCAAACCUGGCCCCAGUUCGGAUUGGGGGCUGCAAUUCGCCCCCAUGAAGUCGGAAUCGCUAGUAAUCGCGGAUCAGCCACGCCGCGGUGAAUACGUUCUCAACUCUUGUACUCACCGCCCGUCAAGUCAGGGAAGUUGGUAAUGCCCGAAGUCUCCCCGCAAUACUGUGGGGGGCCUAAGGUAGGAUCAGCAACCAGGACU
Molecule: ribosomal RNA, 1432 nt
Filed under: uncultured bacterium
Lineage: Bacteria
Description: bacterial SSU rRNA
Rfam family: Bacterial small subunit ribosomal RNA
Source: RNAcentral